GUGGCCUAAUGGUCAUGGCGUCUCGCUCACACCGAGAAGGUUCCCGGUUCGAUCCCGGGCN
RNAcentral lists this transfer RNA (61 nucleotides) under Penicillium chrysogenum KF-25. RNAcentral describes it as "tRNA-Val (CAC) (tRNA-Val-CAC-2-1)". It matches the Rfam family "tRNA", at positions 7 to 64 of the family's 71-position model. From Rfam's summary of the family: Transfer RNA (tRNA) molecules are approximately 80 nucleotides in length. Their secondary structure includes four short double-helical elements and three loops (D, anti-codon, and T loops). The record is from RNAcentral. Lineage: Eukaryota; Fungi; Ascomycota; Eurotiomycetes; Eurotiales; Aspergillaceae.